UCCGGUUUAUCACCGGCAGUCUCCACAGAGUUCUCGCCAUCACGCGUUAGUAACUGUGGACAAGGGUUGCGCUCGUUGCGGCACUUAAGCCAACACCUCACGGCACGAGCUGACGACAGCCAUGCAGCACCUGUGCUAGCCCUAUAACGACACGGGCUUUCACCCGCUUUAACUAGCAUGUCAAGCCUAGGUAAGGUUCUUCGCGUUGCAUCGAAUUAAGCCACAUGCUCCGCCGCUUGUGCGGGUCCCCGUCAAUUCCUUUGAGUUUUAGCCUUGCGGCCGUACUCCCCAGGCGGAGUGCUUAAUGCGAUAGCUGCGGCACAGAGAGGGUUGAAGACCUCCCCACACCUAGCACUCAACGUUUACGGCUGGGACUAC
RNAcentral lists this unclassified non-coding RNA (378 nucleotides) under uncultured Actinomycetes bacterium. RNAcentral's name for it is "uncultured actinobacterium contains 16S-23S intergenic spacer region". Lineage: Bacteria; Bacillati; Actinomycetota; Actinomycetes. The record is from RNAcentral.